CCUUCGGGUGGAUUAGUGGCGAACGGGUGAGUAACACGUGGGAAAUCUGCCCUGCACUCUGGGACAAGCCUUGGAAACGAGGUCUAAUACCGGAUAUUACCUGUCCUCGCAUGGGGAUGGGUGGAAAGCUCCGGCGGUGCAGGAUGAUCCCGCGGCCUAUCAGCUUGUUGGUGGGGUAAUGGCCUACCAAGGCGACGACGGGUAGCCGGCCUGAGAGGGCGACCGGCCACACUGGGACUGAGACACGGCCCAGACUCCUACGGGAGGCAGCAGUGGGGAAUAUUGCACAAUGGGCGAAAGCCUGAUGCAGCGACGCCGCGUGAGGGAUGAAGGCCUUCGGGUCGUAAACCUCUUUCAGCAGGGAAGAAGCGCAAGUGACGGUACCUGCAGAAGAAGCACCGGCUAACUACGUGCCAGCAGCCGCGGUAAUACGUAGGGUGCGAGCGUUGUCCGGAAUUAUUGGGCGUAAAGAGCUCGUAGGCGGCUUGUCGCGUCGGAUGUGAAAGCCCGGGGCUUAACCCCGGGUCUGCAUUCGAUACGGGCAGGCUAGAGUGUGGUAGGGGAGAUCGGAAUUCCUGGUGUAGCGGUGAAAUGCGCAGAUAUCAGGAGGAACACCGGUGGCGAAGGCGGAUCUCUGGGCCAUUACUGACGCUGAGGAGCGAAAGCGUGGGGAGCGAACAGGAUUAGAUACCCUGGUAGUCCACGCCGUAAACGGUGGGAACUAGGUGUUGGCGACAUUCCACGUCGUCGGUGCCGCAGCUAACGCAUUAAGUUCCCCGCCUGGGGAGUACGGCCGCAAGGCUAAAACUCAAAGGAAUUGACGGGGGCCCGCACAAGCAGCGGAGCAUGUGGCUUAAUUCGACGCAACGCGAAGAACCUUACCAAGGCUUGACAUAUACCGGAAACGGCUAGAGAUAGUCGCCCCCUUGUGGUCGGUAUACAGGUGGUGCAUGGUUGUCGUCAGCUCGUGUCGUGAGAUGUUGGGUUAAGUCCCGCAACGAGCGCAACCCUUGUUCUGUGUUGCCAGCAUGCCUUUCGGGGUGAUGGGGACUCACAGGAGACUGCCGGGGUCAACUCGGAGGAAGGUGGGGACGACGUCAAAUCAUCAUGCCCCUUAUGUCUUGGGCUGCACACGUGCUACAAUGGUCGGUACAAAGGGCUGCGAUGCCGCGAGGCGGAGCGAAUCCCAAAAAGCCGGCCUCAGUUCGGAUUGGGGUCUGCAACUCGACCCC
RNAcentral lists this ribosomal RNA (1232 nucleotides) under Streptomyces sp. RNAcentral describes it as "bacterial SSU rRNA". It matches the Rfam family "Bacterial small subunit ribosomal RNA", at positions 77 to 1319 of the family's 1533-position model. The record is from RNAcentral. Lineage: Bacteria; Bacillati; Actinomycetota; Actinomycetes; Kitasatosporales; Streptomycetaceae.